This 301-nucleotide ribosomal RNA is filed under the name uncultured bacterium. Its description in RNAcentral is "partial 16S ribosomal RNA". It matches the Rfam family "Bacterial small subunit ribosomal RNA", at positions 509 to 809 of the family's 1533-position model. The record is from RNAcentral.
CAGCCGCCGCGGUAAUACGAAGGGUGCAAGCGUUAAUCGGAAUUACUGGGCGUAAAGCGUGCGUAGGCGGUUUGUUAAGUCUGUUGUGAAAUCCCCGGGCUCAACCUGGGAAUGGCAGUGGAUACUGGCAAGCUAGAGUGUGUCAGAGGAUGGUGGAAUUCCCGGUGUAGCGGUGAAAUGCGUAGAGAUCGGGAGGAACAUCAGUGGCGAAGGCGGCCAUCUGGGACAACACUGACGCUGAGGCACGAAAGCGUGGGGAGCAAACAGGAUUAGAUACCCCAGUAGUCCCUGUCUCUUAUAA